Molecule: ribosomal RNA, 1167 nt
Filed under: Haptophrya schmidtearum
Lineage: Eukaryota; Ciliophora; Oligohymenophorea; Astomatida; Haptophryidae
Description: partial small subunit ribosomal RNA
Rfam family: Bacterial small subunit ribosomal RNA
Source: RNAcentral
UUACUCGUCGUUACUGGGCGUAUAGGAUACGUAGACGGCUUCAAAAUGCUAUUUACCGAAACAAAUUAGUUAGGGUGUAGUAAUUUGGUGCUUGGUUUAAUCAAAGGCUACACACAGGUGUACGUUAGCGAUAAAAUGCAUAAAACGUAUACUGGUUUCCGAAGGUGAAAACAUGUCGCUAUGAUUAAUCGACGUUGAGGUAUGAAGGUAUGGGUGUCGAUCGGGAUUAGAGACCCCAGUAGUCCAUACUACAAAAGAUGAGUAUUCCAAUUAUAGAAAACUUGGAAGCUAACGCGAUAAAUACUCCGCCUGGGAAGUACGGCCGCAAGGUUAAAACUUAAGAGAUUUGGCGGGAAUUUGUUCGAACGGUGGAACAUGUGGUUUAAUUCGAUAAUCCACGAAAAAUCUUACCAGUGUUGGACUACAUUAAAGUCGAAAAAUUAAUUAUUUUAUCGAAUUUUUAGUGUUAACAAGGUGCUGCAUGGCUGUCGUCAGUUCGUGCUGUGACGUGUAGAGUUAAGUCUCGUAAACGAACAAAACCUCUGGGGUUCGUUAACUGGGCUGUUUUACUAUUUUUUUGCAGCUUAGCGUAAGGAUUCAUCAUAAUUUAUAUUAAAAAAAUCGGUUAAAGGUUUUUAACCUCAACUUAUUUGUUUAGCGGGAUAAUUCUCACACUCAAAACAGCCCCCGCCAAUACCACCCUUGGUUACCCUUGUUUUAAGGUUUGACUUAAAGGGUUUUUGGUAUAGCGGGUAGUUUUAGUGUUUUUAAACAGAUUAUUUUGAUAUAACUUUAAUGAGAUAGAGCUGAAGUCAAGUCCUUAUGGCCUGUAUAUGCUGGGCUACACACGUGUUACAAGGGUAAAGACAGAGAGUGGCGAGUGCGCAAGUAGGAGCAAUUCUCUAAAAAUUAUCUCAGUUCGGAUUGUUUUAUGGAACUCUAAAACAUGAAGUUGAAAUCGUUAGUAAUUACACUUUAGUAUGGUGUAGUGAAUGAAAAGUCAAAUUUUGCACACACUGCCCAUCACGCCCGAAGAGUUGGUUCGGAGGGAAGAUAGUUAGACCGCGGUGGAAUUUAAUAAGUUCAAAUAACACACCGGUAUCGGCGCUUUCGGGUGGCGGUUUGUAUUCAUCGAAAUCAGUUUGUAUUUGUGUAAUUGACACAAGG